AUUGAACGCUGGCGGCAUGCCUUACACAUGCAAGUCGAACGGUAACGCGGGGCAACCUGGCGACGAGUGGCGAACGGGUGAGUAAUAUAUCGGAACGUGCCCAGUAGUGGGGGGAUAGCCCGGCGAAAGCCGGAUUAAUACCGCAUGAGACCUGAGGGUGAAAGCGGGGGAUCGCAAGACCUCGCGCUAUUGGAGCGGCCGAUAUCAGAUUAGGUAGUUGGUGGGGUAAAGGCCUACCAAGCCGACGAUCUGUAGCUGGUCUGAGAGGACGACCAGCCACACUGGGACUGAGACACGGCCCAGACUCCUACGGGAGGCAGCAGUGGGGAAUUUUGGACAAUGGGCGCAAGCCUGAUCCAGCCAUGCCGCGUGCGGGAAGAAGGCCUUCGGGUUGUAACCGCUUUUGUCAGGGAAGAAAUCUUCUGGGUUAAUACCUCGGGAGGAGUGACGGUACCUGAAGAAUAAGCACCGGCUAACUACGUGCCAGCAGCCGCGGUAAAGUACUCUA
This 508-nucleotide ribosomal RNA is filed under the name uncultured bacterium. RNAcentral's name for it is "bacterial SSU rRNA". It matches the Rfam family "Bacterial small subunit ribosomal RNA", at positions 29 to 529 of the family's 1533-position model. The record is from RNAcentral.